GUCCACGCCGUAAACGAUGGAUACUUGGUGUUGGAGGUAUUGACCCCUUCAGUGCCGAAGCUAACGCGUUAAGUAUCCCGCCUGGGGAGUACGGCCGCAAGGUUAAAACUCAAAGAAAUUGACGGGGGCCCGCACAAGCGGUGGAGCAUGUGGUUUAAUUCGAUGCAACGCGCAGAACCUUACCUAGGUUUUACAUGGUUUGGAAGACUACCAGAAAUGGUGUCGCCCGCAAGGGCCGAAUCACAGGUGCUGCAUGGCUGUCGU
This 264-nucleotide ribosomal RNA is filed under the name uncultured bacterium. RNAcentral describes it as "partial 16S ribosomal RNA". It matches the Rfam family "Bacterial small subunit ribosomal RNA", at positions 793 to 1055 of the family's 1533-position model. The record is from RNAcentral.